CCAGUUGGCCGGAUGGCCGCUCUGCGCGGGGGAUUUGUAUUUUCGUACCUUGGCGCGGGGAGGAAAGUCCGGGCUCCAUGGAAGCACGGUGCCGGAUAACGUCCGGCGGGGGCGACCCCAGGGAAAGUGCCACAGAAAGCAAACCGCCUCUCAUUCGGGCCGCAAGGCUAAGAACAAGAGGUAAGGGUGAAAGGGUGCGGUAAGAGCGCACCGCGCG
This 217-nucleotide RNase P RNA is filed under the name Hyphomicrobiales bacterium. RNAcentral's name for it is "partial RNase P RNA component class A". It matches the Rfam family "Bacterial RNase P class A", at positions 1 to 184 of the family's 367-position model. From Rfam's summary of the family: Ribonuclease P (RNase P) is a ubiquitous endoribonuclease, found in archaea, bacteria and eukarya as well as chloroplasts and mitochondria. Lineage: Bacteria; Pseudomonadati; Pseudomonadota; Alphaproteobacteria; Hyphomicrobiales. The record is from RNAcentral.